UCGUUCUCAUUCAUCCUCUUGUUCUUGCUCUUCAACUUUUCAAUAUCAGACUUUAGGUAGUUUGCGAAAAAACCAGAAACCCGGUCGUGUAAAAACUGAAAAUCAGGGUCGCGAUGGUACAUCUCGGCAGCCUUGUUGGCAAUGGCAAUGGUCUUGUCUCUGAUUCGACAAUGGACGUCAUCAGAAUUUGAGUGUUGGCUGCUGAUUAGUUGUAGAAGAACAAGGCGGUAGAUAAUCUCGACAAAAUCGCGACCGGAGUUGCCGGCAAGGGGCUCGAUGUUGGAGGCUAAGGUUUUGGGGUGGUUGUGGUGGAGCCAUAGCAAGGCACUGUGGAACAAUUCAUAGUCGGUGGUUUGUCCGAGAUAACGAAUGAGCUUGAGGGUGGUGAGGGGACUGUGGAACCAGGCCAGCGGCAGAAGUUGCUGGUUUAGAUAUCUGUGAGAGGAGGCGGAGGCUUUCUGCCUGUAGGAGGAAUUCACCUCUACAGCCAACAGAAAACGCAACAGAUCAAUGCAGGGGUUAGUGUUAACACUCUCCAACUCCAACCCCGAUUCGGAUUCCAAUUCCGUUACAUCCUCCUCCUCCUCAAUAUUAAUCUCAUUUGAAGAGAAAUUUGAGCAUAAUUUCAGUGGCCUCUGUGGUGGAUAUUU
This 650-nucleotide long non-coding RNA is filed under the name Malus domestica (apple). RNAcentral describes it as "long non-coding RNA (MDOM_LNC008943)". Lineage: Eukaryota; Viridiplantae; Streptophyta; Magnoliopsida; Rosales; Rosaceae. The record is from RNAcentral.